RNAcentral lists this ribosomal RNA (122 nucleotides) under Escherichia coli. RNAcentral describes it as "partial 16S ribosomal RNA". It matches the Rfam family "Bacterial small subunit ribosomal RNA", at positions 1 to 113 of the family's 1533-position model. The record is from RNAcentral. Lineage: Bacteria; Pseudomonadati; Pseudomonadota; Gammaproteobacteria; Enterobacterales; Enterobacteriaceae.
UUAAAUUGAAGAGUUUGAUCAUGGCUCAGAUUGAACGCUGGCGGCAGGCCUAACACAUGCAAGUCGAACGGUAACAGGAAACAGCUUGCUGUUUCGCUGACGAGUGGCGGACGGGUGAGUAA